GGGGAUAGCCUUUCGAAAGAAAGAUUAAUACCCGAUGUCAUAGUCCUACCGCAUGAUGGGAUUAUUAAAGAAUUUCGGUAUGGGAUGGGGAUGCGUUCCAUUAGUUAGUUGGCGGGGUAACGGCCCACCAAGACGACGAUGGAUAGGGGUUCUGAGAGGAAGGUCCCCCACAUUGGAACUGAGACACGGUCCAAACUCCUACGGGAGGCAGCAGUGAGGAAUAUUGGUCAAUGGACGAGAGUCUGAACCAGCCAAGUAGCGUGAAGGAUGACUGCCCUAUGGGUUGUAAACUUCUUUUAUAUGGGAAUAAAAUGUUCCACGUGUGGGAUUUUGUAUGUACCAUAUGAAUAAGGAUCGGCUAACUCCGUGCCAGCAGCCGCGGUAAUACGGAGGAUCCGAGCGUUAUCCGGAUUUAUUGGGUUUAAAGGGAGCGUAGGUGGAUUGUUAAGUCAGUUGUGAAAGUUUGCGGCUCAACCGUAAAAUUGCAGUUGAAACUGGCAGUCUUGAGUACAGUAGAGGUGGGCGGAACUCGUGGUGUAGCGGUGAAAUGCUUAGAUAUCACGAAGAACUCCGAUUGCGAAGGCAGCUCACUGGACUGCAACUGACACUGAGGCUCGAAAGUGUGGGUAUCAAACAGGAUUAGAUACCCUGGUAGUCCACACAGUAAACG
This 670-nucleotide ribosomal RNA is filed under the name uncultured bacterium. RNAcentral describes it as "bacterial SSU rRNA". It matches the Rfam family "Bacterial small subunit ribosomal RNA", at positions 139 to 808 of the family's 1533-position model. The record is from RNAcentral.